ACACUAAUUAAGACUACAAAUUAGACCUAAUGAAAGAUUUCAAACAGACCACUAAAACCAGAUACAAGUAGCAGACCUGGUGCAGCUAGCCAAACUAGUCUCUGAGUCAUGGGACUGAGCCACCAGUAGAAAGAACAGCAGGGAUAGUGGGGAGGACUGGGGCACAGCAGGGAGAGUGCCGGGUAGUUGAUCGAUGAGUGUCGGUGAUCUCCAUCAUAGUCACUUGCUUACACUGCGCAGGAGGGUUGCUGCUGUGCUGUGCCCUUUAUCAAACAGAUGAUAGGCAACUCUUGCACAACGCCAUCCAGCUUUUUGCAGAGGUCAACAUAUUUCACUCAGAUGGAGGAUUCCGACAUUGCGGGGGUCAAUUGACCACCUUUGCACUAACGUGGGUCUGCCCCUGGUAGCAUCACUACUGAUCUUCAACUUCUUCUUGCUGCUAACAGCAUCACCAAUUGAUCUUUUCCUAUUUGCCAUAAUUUCAUUGAACUUGGCUUUCAAGUCCCGCUGAGCUUCUUCCAACAGCGCACACAAUGAAUGAAUGACAUCGUCGUGAAUAUUGAUCUGUAUAGUAUGUAAAAUUUUACGGUGCCUGAAAAGGACAUCAAAAUCAUGAACGGUAAAUUCAAAACAGAUCAUAUGUACUUAUCCUCUGCUACAAUUGCACUAGGGGAUGCAUGUGAAGGUGGUGCACCAUGAUCCAAUCCCUCAUCCUCCAUGUUUUCUUCCUGCACGUUCGGGUCAAUGCCCAGAGAUGCAUCAGUACCAGUUGGUGCACCAUGAUCCCAUCUCUCAUCCUCCACGUUCUCAUCCUGCGGGUUAGAACGUGCGGCUAUACUAUUGAAAUAUAAUCACGCGUAUAGCCGCUAGGCUAUGCUCCGUGUUUCUUUAAAAAUUUUUAUUCAAAUUAAUCGUAUAGCCGGCCGGCCAUACUCGGUGUUUUUAAAUGUCUUUUCCAAUUAAUAGUAUAGCCGCACGGCUAUACUAUUUUUGGGUCUAUUUUUUAUAAAUAAAUAGUACACCCGCUCCCCUACUUUUAAACAUAAUAUAUUAAAAGAAUAUAGAACGGCUAUACGUGUUUUUAAAUUUUUCCUUAAAUUAAUAAUAUAGCCGCGCGGCUAUAUCGUUUAAUAUAUUAUAUUCAAAAAGUAUAGCCGCCCGGCUAUACUAGGGUCCCUAUUUUUUUAAAUUAAAAAAAAAUAAAUAAACAGUGGAAUGAUGUUUUUAAUCUUUUUUCUUUAAAUAAAAGGCCAAAUUACACUUUCUGGUUGUGUGAACUGUACUAUUCAUUGACUUUGCAUUUUCAGUCUCUGUUCUUGUAAUAUUGGAAAUAUUAGUUCUGUAGUUUUGUUCAUGUCAAAAUCUCAGGGAAGAUGGGCAAAUGUAAGAUGUUAAUUUUUAAUUUCACAUGUAACAGAAUUUCACCUCCAGCCGAUAUGUUAAACAAGUAAGUGGGUCCAAAUGUAAUGUGAGAAGUAGUUCUUCGAAUAAGGCUCAUGGUCACGGGACAAAGCGAUUAGCAAGAAACUAGUGAAGUGAGGUGACUCUUCUUCUUCAUUUCUAGGGCUGCUACAAUAACACACCAUCACAUUUAUCAACCAUAACAUAUAUAUAUAUAUAUAUAUAUAUAUAUAUAGAUAAACUAGUACAACGUGUGGCAGCCAAGUGAGAACCCUAUAUCCGUAGCUACAUCUUCUGCUAGCAUUACAAGAACUUAGAGCAUGUUGUUCUAGACCCAGCACUGAACACACCCACAAACCAGAAAAGCACACUAAUUAAGACUAAACCAAACACAAAUUAAGACCUAAUGAAAGAUUUCAAACAGAUCAUUAAAACCAGAUACAAGUAGCAGACCCUGGUGCAGCUAGCCAAACUGGUCUCUGAGUCAUGGUGUAAAUGGGACUGAGCCACCAGCAGAAGGAACAGCAGGGAUAGUGGGGAGGACUGGGACUGGAACACAGCCUCCAGGGAGAGUGCAGAGGCCUGAUGGUCCAAAGCUAACCCCAGUAACAAACCCUGGAGGGCCUGGGAAGAUGCCUCCUGCAGCUCCUCCAUAGAAGUUCUGAGGCUCAUCAACGCCCUCUCCAUUCUCAUCAUGACUCUUGAUCCGCCUUCCUCCUUCAACAUGCAAUGCAGCAACCACUAGGAUAGUGGUCAGGAUCAGCAUCACCUUAUUCACUCUCUCCAUGCUGACCUUUUGCUGCUUUGAGCUCUCUCUCUCUCUCUCUCUCUCUCUCUCUCUACAGUUUUGAGUCACACUCUAAAAUUUGUUACAGGGGUGAAGGAAGAUCAUGACAAACCCACCCUCCUUCUUAUAGUACAAAAGAUCUCCAUUUCAGGAUAAUCAAAAUAACCCUUUUCUCUUAAUUACCAUACAUGGAAUAGGGAUGCUUGCCUUGCUAAAUGCAGUGG
This 2412-nucleotide long non-coding RNA is filed under the name Prunus persica (peach). Its description in RNAcentral is "long non-coding RNA (PPER_LNC006687)". The record is from RNAcentral. Lineage: Eukaryota; Viridiplantae; Streptophyta; Magnoliopsida; Rosales; Rosaceae.